RNAcentral lists this long non-coding RNA (524 nucleotides) under Physcomitrium patens. Its description in RNAcentral is "long non-coding RNA (PPAT_LNC009254)". The record is from RNAcentral. Lineage: Eukaryota; Viridiplantae; Streptophyta; Bryopsida; Funariales; Funariaceae.
UAGUCUUUUAAAUUUUAUUGCUCAAAAUUAAACAUGCAAUAUCAAUUGUGACAUAGAAUCAAUAAUUUAAGUUUUAAGUAAAUACAUCUGCAUUAAAUAGAUUGAUAUUUUCUUGAGUACAAUGUCAAUUGUUUUGUACACAUUGGAUUACCUACAUAAUUUUUUUCAAUAAUAUUUCAAAAUUGACAGAUUCCAGUGAUUUACUUGAAAUAAGACUAUCAAUUUAAUACAAUGUGAUUAUAGUCUUCAUUGUUUAUGGUAUUGAAUCUAUUGAAUGUUAGAAAAACGAAAUUAUGCAAUCAAUGUAAAAUUUUCCAUUUUUUGUAGUUUUAAUUCGAAAAUAAACACUAUUGACUGUUACAAUAUACAAAAAAUUGCUUCAUGUUUUGACUGUUACAAUAUUCAAAAAGACACUGUUGUGCUUUGCAGGAGAAUUAAAUUGACAUCUGACAAAUCACUUUAGUAAUAGAAUAUUUUAUGGGUGUUUUCAUAAUUCUUGAAGUUGGAGUAGUUGUUUUAGACAC